RNAcentral lists this unclassified non-coding RNA (333 nucleotides) under soil metagenome. RNAcentral's name for it is "partial contains 5.8S ribosomal RNA, internal transcribed spacer 2, and large subunit ribosomal RNA". The stretch from base 1 to 120 matches the Rfam family "5.8S ribosomal RNA", at positions 35 to 154 of the family's 154-position model. The record is from RNAcentral.
GAUGAAGAACGUAGCGAAAUGCGAAAAGUAGUGUGAAUUGCAGAAUUCAGUGAAUCAUCGAAUCUUUGAACGCACAUUGCGCCCCUUGGUAUUCCAUGGGGCAUGCCUGUUCGAGCGUCAUUUUGUACCCUCAAGCACUGCUUGGUGUUGGGCGUUUGUCCUGCAGAGGACUCGCCUGAAAGCGAUUGGCGGCCAACGUAGUCGUGGCAGAGCGCAGCACAAUCUCGCGUCUCUCCCCUCUGCGUCGGCGUCCAUGAAGCCCACAAUCUCAACGUUUGACCCCGGCUCAGGUAGGGAUACCCGCUGAACUUAAGCAUAUCAAUAAGCGGAGGA